Molecule: small RNA, 1368 nt
Filed under: Olea europaea subsp. europaea
Lineage: Eukaryota; Viridiplantae; Streptophyta; Magnoliopsida; Lamiales; Oleaceae
Source: RNAcentral
GAGUGAUAAUCAUUGGUAAAAAUUUUAAGCCUAAGAAUUCUGAAAGAUAAACACAUUACCUUCAUUUGAGUACGCUUGUUUUGGAACCAAAAUUUUACUUGUAAAGGCUCCAAUCCUAAUUGACGUCCAAGCUCUUUCCUUUGUUUAUCAUCUGGGUGAGGGCAUUCCUUAAAAAAACUGUAAAUGAAAAUAUUUCGUGAAAAAAAUGAAUAAAUGUCUCUUAAUUAUUUAAUUCUGUCCGGCACUUGACUUACGCUUCCAUUUCUGUGAUUUGAUGCUGGGUAUGGCGAUGAUAACGCUUCUUUUUGGGUCGUGGAUUUGGAUCUCCAUCAUCACCAGAAGGUGCUUCCAUUAUAUCAGUCACCGAUUUGCUGUCGAAUUCAUCAUCCUUAAUAAGGUCCAUCUCAUUUUCUGGUGUUUUAUGGAUCAUGUCCAGCAAGGAAUGGUGGCUAUCAAACAUGUUUGGCUGAAACAUCAUGAUGUUCUUAAGUAACAAACUUAAAAUUUUCCAAUCAGCUGCAAGAAGAUGAACAAAAGAAUUAAGCGAAACAAUUUUAACAAAAGAUUAAUAUAAUUAAGAAAUAAUUAUAGUUUAAAACAAUUGACAUGAGAGACAAGCUUAAAAUUUUCCAAUCAGCUGCAAGAAGAUGAAACAAAAAAAUUAAGCGAAACAAUUUUAACAAAAAAUUAAUAUAAUUAAGAAAUAAUUAUAGUUUACAACAAUUGACAUGGCAGAACUAUACAUCAAGAAAAAAAGGAUUGCGCCAUAUGGAAUCUGGAAAUGCGAUUAGGGAAUAAAAAAAUUCUAUUAAGGCUCAGAUCUUGUGACUUUUGAGAGUGUGUAAUGUACGAAAAAAGGUGCUUUAGCGUUUAUAUCGAGAAUGAUUUCAUUGGAAGUACUUUUAUUCCCUACUUCUUUGUUUAAUCAGAUCUUGAAAUGGUUUGACUCUUGACACAAAACAGUAUAUCAUAAACACUUUUUAACAUGACAACGAAAUUAAUUUUUGUGGGAACCUGAUACUGUUCAUCAGAAUUCUGUUUAAAUUGUGAGAAAUAACAAUGUAAAAAAUGGUAUGAUAAGAGUAACUCUAUAUCUGUAUCUUGAAUUCUUCUUGCAUUCAGUGGAAUUUUAGGUUUGCAAAAUUCACUGACCUUUUUUAUAGGUUUUCAGACUCGCCUGAAAAUUCUUGGCACGAGACUUCUUCCUAUGCCCUUGAAGCUGCACAUCUUCACCAUGAAACCCUAGAAACUUCUCUCUCUCUCUCUCUUUAUAUAUAUAUCUUUCUCCCUCUAAAUUGAGGUCUAGCUUUUUGGUUUUGAUUUUGGUUUUGGUUUUUAGAAGGUAGUGCGUUGAGGUCAACAGAUUCU